GUGUUCUCUAAUACAAACCCUCCCUGUGUACCAAUCCGUGUUGCUUUCCCAGGUGGUUGGUUUCGGUCAAUGUCCAAUCCUGCAUGCUAGUUGAGUUAACAUCACUAAGCGGGUCCCUGGGAAAGGGCCUUACCAAUGCAAAUAUUUGAAUCAGCUGUCUGAGUUGGCCCAGUGCCGUAUUAUUUGAAUAAGUUAAAACUUUCAACAACGGAUCUCUUGGCUCUCGCAUCGAUGAAGAACGCAGCGAAAUGCGAUAAGUAAUGUGAAUUGCAGAAUUCAGUGAAUCAUCGAAUCUUUGAACGCACAUUGCGCCCCUUGGCAUUCCUUGGGGCAUGCCUGUUCGAGCGUCACUGCAAACCCGCUCAUAAAUAUUAUGGUAAUGAUGGAAGUGAAGUGAGGACACUAAUAUGCCUCGGUCACCCCAUUGAAAUGUAUUGGCAGGACAAUCAACCUCUGCAAUGGACUUAGUAACUGUUUUGAAGACAUCAAUCAGUCAAUUGUGAGGUUUUG
Molecule: ribosomal RNA, 510 nt
Filed under: uncultured fungus
Lineage: Eukaryota; Fungi
Description: eukaryotic LSU rRNA
Rfam family: 5.8S ribosomal RNA (bases 197-350)
Source: RNAcentral